Molecule: long non-coding RNA, 218 nt
Filed under: Physcomitrium patens
Lineage: Eukaryota; Viridiplantae; Streptophyta; Bryopsida; Funariales; Funariaceae
Description: long non-coding RNA (PPAT_LNC002631)
Source: RNAcentral
UAGAUUUUAAAAAAUAAAAAUAAGUUUACAAAUUUGAUGAUUUUAUGAAUAUUAUAGCAUAUUUAUAAAUAAAACUUUUUUAAUUUUUUAUUAUUCUUUUUUUAAACGUCUGUAAAAAAUUUAAUAUCAAUUUAAUAGUUAGAUUGAAGGUUGUGAGAGUUUUUAUGGAUUAUGGUCUCAAACAAUUGAAAUUUAGGAUUAGUAAGGAUUUUUGAGAU